This 1328-nucleotide ribosomal RNA is filed under the name Campylobacter coli. RNAcentral's name for it is "bacterial SSU rRNA". It matches the Rfam family "Bacterial small subunit ribosomal RNA", at positions 181 to 1533 of the family's 1533-position model. Lineage: Bacteria; Pseudomonadati; Campylobacterota; Epsilonproteobacteria; Campylobacterales; Campylobacteraceae. The record is from RNAcentral.
GCUUAACACAAGUUGAGUAGGGAAAGUUUUUCGGUGUAGGAUGAGACUAUAUAGUAUCAGCUAGUUGGUAAGGUAAUGGCUUACCAAGGCUAUGACGCUUAACUGGUCUGAGAGGAUGAUCAGUCACACUGGAACUGAGACACGGUCCAGACUCCUACGGGAGGCAGCAGUAGGGAAUAUUGCGCAAUGGGGGAAACCCUGACGCAGCAACGCCGCGUGGAGGAUGACACUUUUCGGAGCGUAAACUCCUUUUCUUAGGGAAGAAUUCUGACGGUACCUAAGGAAUAAGCACCGGCUAACUCCGUGCCAGCAGCCGCGGUAAUACGGAGGGUGCAAGCGUUACUCGGAAUCACUGGGCGUAAAGGGCGCGUAGGCGGAUUAUCAAGUCUCUUGUGAAAUCUAAUGGCUUAACCAUUAAACUGCUUGGGAAACUGAUAGUCUAGAGUGAGGGAGAGGCAGAUGGAAUUGGUGGUGUAGGGGUAAAAUCCGUAGAUAUCACCAAGAAUACCCAUUGCGAAGGCGAUCUGCUGGAACUCAACUGACGCUAAGGCGCGAAAGCGUGGGGAGCAAACAGGAUUAGAUACCCUGGUAGUCCACGCCCUAAACGAUGUACACUAGUUGUUGGGGUGCUAGUCAUCUCAGUAAUGCAGCUAACGCAUUAAGUGUACCGCCUGGGGAGUACGGUCGCAAGAUUAAAACUCAAAGGAAUAGACGGGGACCCGCACAAGCGGUGGAGCAUGUGGUUUAAUUCGAAGAUACGCGAAGAACCUUACCUGGGCUUGAUAUCCUAAGAACCUUUUAGAGAUAAGAGGGUGCUAGCUUGCUAGAACUUAGAGACAGGUGCUGCACGGCUGUCGUCAGCUCGUGUCGUGAGAUGUUGGGUUAAGUCCCGCAACGAGCGCAACCCACGUAUUUAGUUGCUAACGGUUCGGCCGAGCACUCUAAAUAGACUGCCUUCGUAAGGAGGAGGAAGGUGUGGACGACGUCAAGUCAUCAUGGCCCUUAUGCCCAGGGCGACACACGUGCUACAAUGGCAUAUACAAUGAGACGCAAUACCGCGAGGUGGAGCAAAUCUAUAAAAUAUGUCCCAGUUCGGAUUGUUCUCUGCAACUCGAGAGCAUGAAGCCGGAAUCGCUAGUAAUCGUAGAUCAGCCAUGCUACGGUGAAUACGUUCCCGGGUCUUGUACUCACCGCCCGUCACACCAUGGGAGUUGAUUUCACUCGAAGCCGGAAUACUAAACUAGUUACCGUCCACAGUGGAAUCAGCGACUGGGGUGAAGUCGUAACAAGGUAACCGUAGGAGAACCUGCGGUUGGAUCACCUCCUUU